RNAcentral lists this ribosomal RNA (253 nucleotides) under uncultured bacterium. Its description in RNAcentral is "partial 16S ribosomal RNA". It matches the Rfam family "Bacterial small subunit ribosomal RNA", at positions 524 to 776 of the family's 1533-position model. The record is from RNAcentral.
UACAGAGGGGGCAAGCGUUGUUCGGAAUUACUGGGCGUAAAGGGCGCGUAGGCGGCCGCUUAAGUCGAACGUGAAAUCCCCGGGCUCAACCCGGGAACUGCGUCCGAUACUGGAUGGCUUGAAUCCGGGAGAGGGAUGCGGAAUUCCAGGUGUAGCGGUGAAAUGCGUAGAUAUCGGGAGGAACACCAGUAGCGAAGGCGACACUCUGGGCCGGAACUGACGCUGAGGAGCGAAAGCGUGGGGAGCAAACAGG